This 71-nucleotide transfer RNA is filed under the name Candidatus Parcubacteria bacterium. Its description in RNAcentral is "tRNA-Gly". It matches the Rfam family "tRNA". From Rfam's summary of the family: Transfer RNA (tRNA) molecules are approximately 80 nucleotides in length. Lineage: Bacteria; Candidatus Parcubacteria. The record is from RNAcentral.
GCGGGGUUGGUAUAGGGGAAUUACGCAACCUUCCCAAGGUUGAAAGGCGGGUUCGAGUCCCGUACCUCGCU